Molecule: non-coding RNA, 78 nt
Organism: Podarcis lilfordi (Lilford's wall lizard)
Lineage: Eukaryota; Metazoa; Chordata; Lepidosauria; Squamata; Lacertidae
Source: the annotation of a GenBank genome assembly
UGAGUGAUAGUUCAGUUUGGUGUAGAGCAUGAGACUCUUAAUCUCAGAGUUGUUGGUUUGAGUCCCAAGCUGGUUGAG